GACGAACGCUGGCGGCGUGCUUAACACAUGCAAGUCGAACGGAAAGGCCCUGCUUUUGUGGGGUGCUCGAGUGGCGAACGGGUGAGUAACACGUGAGUAACCUGCCCUUGACUUUGGGAUAACUUCAGGAAACUGGGGCUAAUACCGGAUAGGAGCUCCUGCUGCAUGGUGGGGGUUGGAAAGUUUCGGCGGUUGGGGAUGGACUCGCGGCUUAUCAGCUUGUUGGUGGGGUAGUGGAUUACCAAGGCUUUGACGGGUAGCCGGCCUGAGAGGGUGACCGGCCACAUUGGGACUGAGAUACGGCCCAGACUCCUACGUGAGGCAGCAGUGGGGAAUAUUGCACAAUGGGCGGAAGCCUGAUGCAGCAACGCCGCGUGCGGGAUGACGGCCUUCGGGUUGUAAACCGCUUUCGCCUGUGACGAAGCGUGAGUGACGGUAAUGGGUAAAGAAGCACCGGCUAACUACGUG
Molecule: ribosomal RNA, 468 nt
Filed under: uncultured bacterium
Lineage: Bacteria
Description: partial 16S ribosomal RNA
Rfam family: Bacterial small subunit ribosomal RNA
Source: RNAcentral